Molecule: microRNA, 24 nt
Filed under: Glycine max (soybean)
Lineage: Eukaryota; Viridiplantae; Streptophyta; Magnoliopsida; Fabales; Fabaceae
Description: gma-miR10425
Source: miRBase by way of RNAcentral
UUACAACCGUCUUUGAAAUCGCCU